Molecule: ribosomal RNA, 497 nt
Filed under: uncultured bacterium
Lineage: Bacteria
Description: partial 16S ribosomal RNA
Rfam family: Bacterial small subunit ribosomal RNA
Source: RNAcentral
GAUGAACGCUGGCGGCGUGCCUAAUACAUGCAAGUCGAGCGAACAGACGAGGAGCUUGCUCCUCUGAUGUUAGCGGCGGACGGGUGAGUAACACGUGGAUAACCUACCUAUAAGACUGGGAUAACUUCGGGAAACCGGAGCUAAUACCGGAUAACAUGUUGAACCGCAUGGUUCAACAGUGAAAGACGGUCUUGCUGUCACUUAUAGAUGGAUCCGCGCCGCAUUAGCUAGUUGGUAAGGUAACGGCUUACCAAGGCAACGAUGCGUAGCCGACCUGAGAGGGUGAUCGGCCACACUGGAACUGAGACACGGUCCAGACUCCUACGGGAGGCAGCAGUAGGGAAUCUUCCGCAAUGGGCGAAAGCCUGACGGAGCAACGCCGCGUGAGUGAAGAAGGUCUUCGGAUCGUAAAACUCUGUUAUUAGGGAAGAACAAAUGUGUAACUAACUAUGCACGUCUUGACGGUACCUAAUCAGAAAGCCACGGCUAACUACGUG